UACGGAGGGGGCGAGCGUUGUUCGGAAUUACUGGGCGUAAAGCGCGUGUAGGCGGCCCACUAAGUCUGAUGUGAAAGCCCGGGGCUCACCCCCGGAAGUGCAUUGGAAACUGGUGGACUCGAGUCCCGGAGAGGAGAGUGGAAUUCCUGGUGUAGCGGUGAAAUGCGCAGAUAUCAGGAGGAACACCGAUGGCGAAGGCAGGUCUCUGGGCAUUAACUGACGCUGAGGAGCGAAAGCAUGGGGAGCGAACAGG
RNAcentral lists this ribosomal RNA (253 nucleotides) under uncultured bacterium. Its description in RNAcentral is "partial 16S ribosomal RNA". It matches the Rfam family "Bacterial small subunit ribosomal RNA", at positions 524 to 776 of the family's 1533-position model. The record is from RNAcentral.